This is a long non-coding RNA of Felis catus (domestic cat), 2629 nucleotides long. RefSeq lists it as uncharacterized. Lineage: Eukaryota; Metazoa; Chordata; Mammalia; Carnivora; Felidae. The record is from RefSeq and is a predicted model, not a curated record. The transcript is spliced from 3 exons.
GGUUCGCUCUCCAGUCUCCUAGUUUGACUGCCUCUCCAACAAGAUUUUUCUUUGCUGAACCCUCUAUGUCUCCAUGGUCGGCUUUGCUGUACGCCAGGCAGGAGAACUUGAAUUUGGUAACAAAGCUGAGUUGCUGCCUGGGAGUUUUUGCCAGUGUGUUGUCAGCUCCCAGCUGGUCACGGGAGUCCAGUGACGAGUCCAAGCAACCUCUAGGCUCUGCGUCUUAGGGGGUGCCUGGGGCACAGACCCCAACUGGGUGCCAUAGACCUUCGGUGUUAACUCCUGCAGCAAGCAAACAGUUUGGGGGUUCGGUUUCGACAGACCUCUUUUGCCCAGAGUCUGACAUUUCUGAUGGGGAUUCUGGUCAGCACAUCCCAGCACCUGCCACAGGAACUCGGAUCCACACGGUUCCCUGGACUUCCUGGUCUCAACAUCAACAUGGGAAAUAACAGGUCUUUGACUAAAAGCUGAAACAAUUGUGUAAUCUUCUGCAUUUGCCUUUAGAAUCUGAUUGCCACCUCGCCUAAAUACAUAAGUAUUAGAUUUUUGCAAUGAUCUGUAAGCCUAUGUAGACAUGUUGUUUAAAACCUUCUGAUCUCUGACAGACUUCCUAAAAUUCAACUCCUAAAUGAAGUCUCUUUUAUUAAUUAGGCCUGUUUAUUUAGUAUGUCAAAUUACAUGGGAGGCAUAGAACUAUUCGAGAAAGUAUAUAAAAUUCCUAAGAUUUUGACAUAUCCUGGUGUGUCAUGACUUGUAAUUCUGACUAUUGAAGUAUGUGUCACAGAAUUUCCUGGUCAGCUGCACUGUAAUGACAAAUACAGGUCUCUGAUACCUUAAAGAUCAUAAAAAUAGAGUAAGAAUUUCUGGAACUAAUGGGAAAACUGCAUUCCAAUAGAACAAGAAUUAAUAACAUGGGACUGAAUGAAUUGAGGCAGGUAAUUCUAUAGCUUUUGUUUGAAGCUUUGCUGGUUUUCUAAUGUUUACUUUUCCAGGUUUAAGGAAACCUUCCCUCUUAAGCUAUUUAUGACUUACUGAAAUUUGAUAAAAUAAUACUUUUGUAAACAAACAUGAAACAUUUAUCUUUCUUUCCCAGCCUGAUCCCUCCAGAAUUCAGAAACUCCAAGUGAACGUUCUUCUGUUUUCACAGCGAUGUAUUUAUUUGCAAAAGUUAAAUAAGAAUCUGUUCUUUAUGUCAAGACACAAUUAGAAACGUUGGUUAUAUUACCAAGGCUUUGACCAGAAUGUCCUAUUUGAGGGAGAUCUGCAGAGACUUAACUAUGACCAAACAACUGGUGUGGUUCCAACUUUAAGGAAAUAAUGUUGACUUUAUAGAGCCAAUGAAUCCCCUUGGAAAAACUGACCUGGUACCUUGCUUACUGAGUUCCAGCAGGCUUACCAGGUGGAUAAGAACCUGCCACUUCCUGGCAGGUCCAAGAACCUCAGGAUAUUUGGGAGACCUUGAGAAGAGAGGAAUUCACCAAAACCUAUAGGUAUUGCUGGGGGAGUCUGAUGGCAAGUAUUUGGCUUGGCUUCUUAGCCUUGACAGGCUGUUAAAGUUCAAUCUGAAAUUCCUUAUGAAAAGUUCUAGUAAAGCAGAUUAAAAAAAAAAAAAAAACUAUAUGGUCAAUCACGAUUGCUGUGCUUCUAUAAAUAAUUAGCCAAGUUUGCUACAACUGAGCAGAAUAAUCUUAAUUUGGCUAUCCUUCAUGGAAAUGAAGGUGAUUUUAGAAAGAUUAUUUCAGUAACACCUUUUUGUGGAAGUUAGGUUUCAGUUCUAAUUAACUGUCUUUGAGUGUUUUAUUUGCCUGUAAAACUGGGCUGGAUGCUGAAUUCUGGUUUUCUUGAAUAUCUGGCUAUGACUUAGAAUAGCUGAGAGCUAAAACUGCCCUCUUUCUGAAGUCCUGCAAACUGAAGCUAGACAACUUGAGAUAACAGAAAAUUGCCACAAUGGCCCAUAUUAAGACAGUCUUCAUGCCUGUUGCUAUAUGAGCCUCUCAGAACAAGCUUAUUCCAGCCAUAGGGAUCUGCCACUGGAAAAAUCCAGAUCUUCUGAUGGUCACAGAUGCGAGUAGUUUUCUAGACUAAGAACAACAAAGAGCUAGGUACAUUGGUGACCCAUCAGCUAUUGUCCGUUGCCAAAAACACUAGAAUCAGACGGUUGGAUUGUUCCUUAGUGCAGUCAGGCAAAUCAAGCUGCCAAGUUGGCAGCCUGUGCAAAGACCCUGUGUGAUGUUUAGUACCAGACCUAGACUUAACUAAGUAUCCAUUCCAAUAUUCUCAAGACCUAAGAAGAGUUGCAGAAUGGUGAUUUGAACACAAUGCUGCCAUUAAAGCCAGCUGGAAAUAUAAUUAACCAGGGAUAAUUCUUAUCCCAGAACAUCUUCUGGAAAAAACAAUUAGUCAUAUUUCCCAAAACACCCAUCAUGAGCGAGUUGCUGCUCUUCAGUGGAUCCAGAAAUAUAUCGUGGGUCCCAAUCUUCAGAGAACUGUUCAAAAGAUGGUCUAAAAAUGUGACAUUUAUGCUAAAAACACUCCCAAGACAGGAUCUCCACCAGUUCUAAAAGGCAUACAAAUUUGAGGCUCCAAACCCGUGAAGGCCAGCAGGUAGACUUGACUAAAAAAAACAAAA